Molecule: long non-coding RNA, 822 nt
Organism: Pyrus x bretschneideri (Chinese white pear)
Lineage: Eukaryota; Viridiplantae; Streptophyta; Magnoliopsida; Rosales; Rosaceae
Exons: 2
Source: RefSeq, a predicted model, not a curated record
AUACGUAAGCCGGAAUAACCGGGUCAAAAAAUCCGCUGGUUUAAUUAGUUUCCUCCCUCUUUCUCACUGCUACUGUCUAAGCCGUCACUUUCUCUCUCUCUCUCUCUCUCUCUCUCUCUCUCCCCGCCUCCCUCCUCUGAGCUUACUCAGAUCCAGUAUUCUAAACUGUUUUGAUUUACAUGAGGACAAGCACACUGCCUUAACCCACUGAUCUAACCUAGGUAUGCCGGUUCCUUACCAACCAUCUAUGCCAAGAUUAAAAUUCUAAAUGAUCAACAACUUCACUUUCUAUAUAAUGAACCGCAUGCAUAAAAUGGGAAGAUAUGCAGGUGCACAAUAAAUACAUACAUAAAGCUUAGAAAUUUAAAGGUUUGAUGCUUGAAAUUAAUCAAGGAUUGGGAUAUCUUACUCCUAGGAAGGGAAGAAUAUGAUAUUUGGCGCACAGCCAACUCUAUCAUUUACUGCGCUUCCGAGUGAGUAAAGCAAAACAUCAGGCUCCUAGGAGUAUGAUUGUAGUUCCAUUAUCCUAACUACCUUAUCUUGGCUGCUGGGUCUAGUCUUUUAUAACGCCCUUGGUUUUGUAGACAACUUCAGAAAUGCUAUUUUCUUUUUCGAGCUCAAAAUGUACAUUUAUUUGUGGUAGGAAACUGUUGAAGAUGGGACAUUUGUGACUCAAUCAUACAUUAAGAAUUUGUAUUCUAAUUAUUUCAAUAUUAAAAUUUUAAUUUAAGUUUCUACUUUUUAGUUUUGAUUUUGACAAACAUGGUAACCACUCAGAUAUGAAAUUUUAGUUCUAAUUGUGAAUUUGAAGUCAUAAUGAAA